Molecule: ribosomal RNA, 468 nt
Filed under: uncultured bacterium
Lineage: Bacteria
Description: partial 16S ribosomal RNA
Rfam family: Bacterial small subunit ribosomal RNA
Source: RNAcentral
GAUGAACGCUGGCGGCGUGCUUAACACAUGCAAGUCGAACGGAAAGGCCCAAGCUUGCUUGGGUACUCGAGUAGCGAACGGGUGAGUAACACGUGGGUGAUCUGCCCUGCACUUCGGGAUAAGCCUGGGAAACUGGGUCUAAUACCGGAUAGGACGAUGGUUUGGAUGCCAUUGUGGAAAGUUUUUUCGGUGUGGGAUGAGCUCGCGGCCUAUCAGCUUGUUGGUGGGGUAAUGGCCUACCAAGGCGUCGACGGGUAGCCGGCCUGAGAGGGUGUACGGCCACAUUGGGACUGAGAUACGGCCCAGACUCCUACGGGAGGCAGCAGUGGGGAAUAUUGCACAAUGGGCGCAAGCCUGGUGCAGCGACGCCGCGUGGGGGAUGACGGCCUUCGGGUUGUAAACUCCUUUCGCUAGGGACGAAGCGUUUUUGUGACGGUACCUGGAGAAGAAGCACCGGCUAACUACGUG